Molecule: non-coding RNA, 3153 nt
Organism: Sus scrofa (pig)
Lineage: Eukaryota; Metazoa; Chordata; Mammalia; Artiodactyla; Suidae
Source: RefSeq, a predicted model, not a curated record
GGCUUCUAACUCCCUUAGAGCUCAUCUCAGAGCUAGAAGCCUGUUGGAGGCUAGAGGCUGGCCAGGGGAAGCUGGAAGAAGCUGGAUGGGCCCCAUCUUCCGGGAUUUCAAGAGGUAAAGGGAAGAGCCCAAGAGAAUUCAAAUAAGACCAAAUUUUUAUCUGAAACGUCAUGGUGUUUACGUAAGAAAGUGAGUGAAAUCUGCCAAAGGAGGAAUUUAGUAGAGAUGCCCCUCCCGCGGUUAAGAAAGCUGACUUCUUGAUUAAAAAUGACACCUGCUCUCCAAAGCUAGUUCCAAGAGAAGACCCCAUAAAGAAGGAGCCUGACCCCCGGCCUCCCCUGCGGCCACAAGGGUCACCUCUGCUCCAUAUUUCAUGCUGAGGAGUGUGACCACCUGUUUCGAGGCCCAGACACAGGCAAACAAGCUUCCUUUGGUGUCUCUGCUUUUGGAUACUGUGGGCUGUCUGAGACGGUGCGAUGCGCGGGUGUACAAAGGAACAAUGACACACAGAGAUUUCCACCAUCACGCUGCUUGUGUCUUUCAUCCACAGUAGUUUGUGCUCCAGAGCCCCCGGUUUCUGUCCUGUUUGUGUGGGUCCGUCUGGGGACCAGCCUUCCUCGUUCCCAGGCUGCUUCCACCAUCCCUCGCUGGUCAGGUGGACGGAAAGCACUGCCCCUCAGACCAAGAGAGAAAGAUGUAGGUUUGCCUUCUUCCUACCCUGGAUCAGUCCCGCUGUCUCACUCCCUGUCUCUGGCGAUGGGCACCAAGAAACCACACUUGUCAGGCAAGGUUUGGCCUUUUUUCCUAUCAUGUCCUUGUGGUCUUCAGUUGAUGUAACAGCAUUGAUUACAAGAGAGAUGUGCGCAGAAGGCGGGAAAAGUGCUUUCCUCCUCUUCCUCACCUUCCUGACUGCCUGAGGCUAAGUCCUGGGUCUUAUAGAACCGUUGAAAUAGAUUGCAUCUCAAGCAAAGAUACCUCUCUGCUCUGAAGCACGAAUCCAUUGCUGGUUGCCAGAGGGUAUCAUUGACUCCCUUGCUGGUUAAAAAACGUACCCAGAGCCUCACACAGUCGGCAGUUCCUUGUGUGUCCUCGAGCUUUCGAUUCAGUUGCUCUGGAAACGUUAAUUGAGCAGCUACUCUGUAUACACAGCCAACCAACUAAAUCUAUUGCGACAGACGUUUCACGAAAGAAAAAAGUUAUUAGCAUAGAUCACCCAGGAAAGGUAUCAUCGCAGAAGAAAGAACACUCUUUCUGCGGGGAUAAAAAACUCCCCGCAAUGCUCCCUGAUUCUGAUGCUGACAGCUUAGAACUUGCCUGACUCGGGCACUGAGAGCAGCUUUUUGGAAGGGCUGUUCUCAGGGGACUUUGUUACUGAAAAGGAACACAAGUCACUGAGGCGUGGGUGUCCCCAGCAGCAGAGUCUGCGCUGCACCCGGCUCCUCCCAGAACACUGGGCUGUGGUCCUGUUUUCUGGGUUGCUCGUCCUUUGGGGCAUCUUUCUGAGUGGUUUUCAUCAUCUUCCCUUUGGGCUUCGCUUUCCUCCUCUGUUAAUUGUCGACUUGGAAAUGAUCUCAGAUUACCAUGCUCUGAUUUUAUGGUUUCCUUUCUUUCUAAAGGGAAGCAGACUUCCCUGCCAUGUUGGGAGAGGCUGUGGCAGUAUAUAGCCUAAAACUAAUAAGCAACGACUGGGGAGUAGCCAGCCCCCAAGCGCUUUCCUAAAAUACGCUCUGAUUUCCAACAUUCGCCAGCGCCAACAACUGUUUGCCGUCCCUCUAAUAAUAUCCUGUAUACAAAAUUCCGGAAGAUUUGGAGCUAGUGGCACAGUGACCCUCUGGGACACAUUUAUUCAGGGUGAGGUGAUGGGUCCUUGUGAUGUACGCCUUCGACUAUAGUCCGUGCUCCUGGAUGCUGGCUGUGGAUUAAAACCACUGGAGCCUAUUCUGGAUCAAUUAAAUCAGAAUCUCUGGGGUCUGGACUGGGGUCUGGACAUGAGGAUUUAAAAACAAGUCUCCCAGGUGGCUUUGGUGUGGGGCCAGGGCUGAGAAUCCUUGGCCCAGAAAAACAAGCACAGCAGGAAGAGCAGAGCCUGAGGGGGCCUGAGGAACGUGCAGGUGAAAGGGUUUUGGUAAUAAAACGGUUCAUCUUUACGUUUCAUUUUAGAAAAAUAUCUUCACUCUCCUUUUCUUCUUGGAUGCUCGAGAAUGCAUAUUUGGGUUUGCCAUAGCAUCUCUGUGGAUUUUUUUUUCCCAAGACGUAUGACUUUGUUGCCAGUGAGCCCAAGAGAUAAAUGAAAGAAUGGAGUUGCUGUGGCAAGGGUGACUUGUUGAAGAUUUUGCCUUCCAGCUCUUUUAAACCACGACUUUUUGUUGUUGUUUUUAUUUUUUAUUUAUUUUUAAUUUUUUUUUAUUUUUUGUUGUUUUUAAAGGAUGUAUUUACAUACAGCUUUGCAGGAGAAUGUGAGUAUUCAGUAAAGGGGCUCACAUCCAUGUACUUUGAAAUGGGUUCAUUUAUAGCAAAUCCAGAGUGAAUAUUCCCAAAGGGGUGGGGAAAAAACAAACAAACAAAAACUUGAGGAGUUCAGACCUUACUGUGCUUGGCAUGGCAUCUGGGGACCAAAGCUGCUGGUUGUCCCUCUGUAUCUCCUAUGUGGGUGACAGCUUUGCAAGGCACAGAGAUCUGCCAGAUGUGUGCCAGAGUGACUGGGUGGGGAGAAUCCUGAAGCUGGUGUGGCCACCUGAAGAGGGUGAACUUGUUCCGAAUAAUGAUUAGAUGCACUGACUGCAUACUUAGCAGCAUCCCCUGGCGCUUUUAGUCGCGGAAUUGAAACAGGCACACCCAGGCAAAUGUGCAGGAACACAUGGAGAAACCCUGACCUCAAAAAGCGCUUGCUAAUUGUUUGAGGCUUUGCGGGGCCAUACUGUCAAGCUCAGGCAGGACCUCCAAAUCCCUCAUCAGAUUUAGGAAGUAUUGUGUCAGUAUUUGGGUGCUUGGUUUUGGUAAUUGACAAACCAGGGGCUGUUGGUCUUUAAGAACUUCCUGUUUCCUGCAGGCAGGGCUCUCCUUCCUCAGUGCACCUGCUUCGGGGCUCUCACUCUGGAGAGGAAGUUGUAGAGCAAGAGAGCCUUUCCACUGAACUGGACACCAACCCCCCCC